CAGCAGCCACGGGAAUACGGAGGGUGCAAGCGUUAUCCGGAUUUAUUGGGUUUAAAGGGUCCGUAGGCGGAUCUGUAAGUCAGUGGUGAAAUCUCACAGCUUAACUGUGAAACUGCCAUUGAUACUGCAGGUCUUGAGUAAAUUUGAAGUGGCUGGAAUAAGUAGUGUAGCGGUGAAAUGCAUAGAUAUUACUUAGAACACCAAUUGCGAAGGCAGGUCACUAAGAUUUAACUGACGCUGAUGGACGAAAGCGUGGGGAGCGAACAGGAUUAGAGACCCCUGUAGUCCCUGUCUCUUAUAU
Molecule: ribosomal RNA, 301 nt
Filed under: uncultured bacterium
Lineage: Bacteria
Description: partial 16S ribosomal RNA
Rfam family: Bacterial small subunit ribosomal RNA
Source: RNAcentral